AUGUCCUCCAUGCUAAUGUUGAUCUCCUGGGAGCUUUGGAAGGAACGCAAUGCGAGGGUCUUCCGCAACACCGCGACUCCUUCAACAGUCAUUGUGCGCAACAUUAAGGAUGAAAUCAAUUUGUGGGUUUUAGCGGGUGCUAAGCACUUUGGUUUUGCUAUGCCGCGAGAGUGA
RNAcentral lists this ribosomal RNA (174 nucleotides) under Triticum aestivum (bread wheat). Its description in RNAcentral is "partial small subunit ribosomal RNA". Lineage: Eukaryota; Viridiplantae; Streptophyta; Magnoliopsida; Poales; Poaceae. The record is from RNAcentral.